This 742-nucleotide ribosomal RNA is filed under the name uncultured Gammaproteobacteria bacterium. RNAcentral's name for it is "bacterial SSU rRNA". It matches the Rfam family "Bacterial small subunit ribosomal RNA", at positions 9 to 742 of the family's 1533-position model. Lineage: Bacteria; Pseudomonadati; Pseudomonadota; Gammaproteobacteria. The record is from RNAcentral.
AAGUUUGAUACUGGCUCAGAUUGAACGCUGGCGGCAUGCCUAACACACGCAAGUCGAACGGAAACGAUGGGAGCUUGCUCCCAGGCGUCGAGUGGCGGACGGGUGAGUAAUACUCAGGAAUCUACCCAGUAGUGGGGGACAACACGACGAAAGUCGUGCUAAUACCGCAUACGCCCUAAGGGGGAAAGUGGAGGAUCUUCGGACUUCACGCUAUUGGAUGAGCCUAAGUCGGAUUAGCUUGUUGGUGAGGUAAUGGCUCACCAAGGCGACGAUCCGUAGCUGGUCUGAGAGGACGAUCAGCCACACUGGGACUGAGACACGGCCCAGACUCCUACGGGAGGCAGCAGUGGGGAAUAUUGGACAAUGGGGGCAACCCUGAUCCAGCAAUACCGCGUGUGUGAAGAAGGCCUGCGGGUUGUAAAGCACUUUCAGUAGAGAAGAAAAGCUUAGGGUUAAUACCCCUGAGUCUCGACGUAACCUACAGAAGAAGCACCGGCUAACUCCGUGCCAGCAGCCGCGGUAAUACGGGGGGUGCAAGCGUUAAUCGGAAUUACUGGGCGUAAAGCGCGCGUAGGCGGUCUGGUCAGUCGGAUGUGAAAGCCCUGGGCUCAACCUGGGAAUGGCAUUCGAUACUGCCCGACUAGAAUAUGGAAGAGGGAAGUGGAAUUUCCGGUGUAGCGGUGAAAUGCGUAGAUAUCGGAAGGAACACCAGUGGCGAAGGCGGCUUCCUGGUCCAAUAUUG